GAAAGCCGCAUUGCCGUGAGUUUAUAGCUAUUUGAAUAAUUAUUAUUUAAAGGCACUGGGAUGAUAUAUUAUUUAAAAUAUUUAGCUAAAAUAUUUGUGGGGAUAUUAGUUCACAUCUAGACGUUAUUGUGCAAGUAUGGAAAUUAACCGGGAUUCGAAUUGACCAGCUACCUAACAUGGCUUAUGUCAACAAACGGAAUCAUUUGAAGCUGGGAGUUUUCAGGUCGUAUGGGCUUUAAUGGAUAUUUGAAGGUAGAUGGAUGUAAUGCUGGAUAUAAAGAGACAAUGUAUGAGUCCCAAAGUGACAGCGGUUUUAUUUAUUUAUUUUUUAAAAUUUUGUUGAUGAUUUAGCCCUGGAAUUCUUUACUACAUGAGGCAAAAUUUCAAAUUGCUAAUACCCUAAGUCAUACCAGUAUUCUAUAGCUUUCUUCUAUGGGAAGUUUGGUGAUGACAUCUCCAAGCAAUGGAAUUUUAAUGCUGUUUUGUUUUCUUUCAAUAUACAUGUAUAUGGUUCAAUCUGAAAUAAGCCUAGUAAUCAACCACAUAAAUGGUGGCAUACAGUUCCCUAAAAGUUCAAAACAUAUGUGAUAUUUCUAAACAGAUCUUCUAGUUAACGGAUUGACAUCAGUACUGUUUUGCUUUUAAAUAAAAAGUGAUAUUCGAGAAAAAAUUAACAAUAUUGCGGACUAAGAUUAUUUACAUACAUGUACGUUUUGAAACGUAUUUCAUCGGAAACGGAAUAGUCUAAGGAUGUGGGUAUUUUGUGUGGUCAAAUUCAGAAUUCAUUUGUAUAAGAAGUAUAUCUCCUAUUGGGCUUUAAGUAUAUUACUCCAUAUGGAUAUAUCCUCAUCAUGUUACUAAAAAUCUAUGCAGAUAUGUGUAGCUCUUUUAACAUACUAAUUUUCGCAAAUUGAUAAGUCGAUUAUUACCUAAAGAGGCACGGUCUGUCUAUUUUACAAUUGCUAGCUAAGAGGACAUUGCUUAUAUAGUUUUGAUUCCCAUGAUAAUCUUUCAUUUUAUUUAUAAAAUGUUGAUAAAAUAUUACAACAAAUCACUUAAAAAACUUU
Molecule: long non-coding RNA, 1067 nt
Organism: Ostrea edulis (European flat oyster)
Lineage: Eukaryota; Metazoa; Mollusca; Bivalvia; Ostreida; Ostreidae
Exons: 2
Source: RefSeq, a predicted model, not a curated record